This 624-nucleotide ribosomal RNA is filed under the name uncultured bacterium. RNAcentral describes it as "bacterial SSU rRNA". The stretch from base 1 to 519 matches the Rfam family "Bacterial small subunit ribosomal RNA", at positions 338 to 873 of the family's 1533-position model. The record is from RNAcentral.
CCUACGGGAGGCAGCAGUGGGGAAUAUUGGACAAUGGGCGAAAGCCUGAUCCAGCAAUGCCGCGUGAGUGAAGAAGGCCUUCGGGUUGUAAAGCUCUUUUACCCGGGAAGAUAAUGACCGUACCGGGAGAAUAAGCCCCGGCUAACUCCGUGCCAGCAGCCGCGGUAAUACGGAGGGGGCUAGCGUUGUUCGGAAUCACUGGGCGUAAAGCGUGCGUAGGCGGCCAUUCAAGUCAGAGGUGAAAGCCCAGGGCUCAACCCUGGAACUGCCUUUGAAACUAGGUGGCUGGAACACGGGAGAGGUGAGUGGAAUUCCGAGUGUAGAGGUGAAAUUCGUAGAUAUUCGGAAGAACACCAGUGGCGAAGGCGGCUCACUGGACCGUUGUUGACGCUGAGGCACGAAAGCGUGGGGAGCAAACAGGAUUAGAUACCCUGGUAGUCCACGCCGUAAACGAUGAUAACUAGCUGUUGGGGCUCUUUGAGCUCCAGUGGCGCAGCUACGACAUUAAGUUAUUCCGUCCGUCGGGUAGGUACGGCCGGCCGAACGGUUAAAACCGUUAAAACGGUAAAGUUAGGUACGGCGUGGAGACGUCGUCCGAACGGACGACGACGAGGGGAAGGUAGG